AGCAGCCGCGGUAAUUCCAGCUCCAAUAGCGUAUAUUAAAGUUGUUGCAGUUAAAAAGCUCGUAGUUGAAUUUCGGGAUCAAUACGUCGGUCGUGCUUCGGUACGUACUGGCGUCAUUGAUUUCUCCCUUCUGACGAACCAUGAUGUCAUUAACUUGGUGUCAUGGGAAAUCAGGACUGUUACUUUGAAAAAAUUAGAGUGUUUAAAGCAGGCUCACGCUUGAAUACAUUAGCAUGGAAUAAUGAAAUAGGACGUUUGAUCCUAUUUUGUUGGUUUCUAGGAUCGACGUAAUGAUUAAUAGGGAUAGUUGGGGGCAUUAGUAUUCAAUUGUCAGAGGUGAAAUUCUUGGAUUUAUUGAAGACUAACUACUGCGAAAGCAUUUGCCAAGGAUGUUUUCAUUAAUCAAGAACGAAGGUUAGGGGAUCGAAGACGAUCAGAUACCGUCGUAGUCUUAACCAUAAACUAUGCCGACUAGGGAUCGGAUGAUGUUAAUUUUUUAAUGACUCAUUCGGCGCCUUAC
This 520-nucleotide ribosomal RNA is filed under the name uncultured Glomus. Its description in RNAcentral is "SSU rRNA". It matches the Rfam family "Eukaryotic small subunit ribosomal RNA", at positions 569 to 1091 of the family's 1831-position model. Lineage: Eukaryota; Fungi; Glomeromycota; Glomeromycetes; Glomerales; Glomeraceae. The record is from RNAcentral.